RNAcentral lists this ribosomal RNA (305 nucleotides) under uncultured bacterium. RNAcentral describes it as "bacterial SSU rRNA". It matches the Rfam family "Bacterial small subunit ribosomal RNA", at positions 335 to 656 of the family's 1533-position model. The record is from RNAcentral.
GGGCCUACGGGAGGCAGCAGUGGGGAAUAUUGCACAAUGGGCGAAAGCCUGAUGCAGCAACGCCGCGUGAAGGAAGAAGGCCUUCGGGUCGUAAACUUCUGUCCUUGGGGAAGAAGAACUGACGGUACCCAAGGAGGAAGCCCCGGCUAACUACGUGCCAGCAGCCGCGGUAAUACGGAGGAUGCGAGCGUUAUCCGGAUUUAUUGGGUUUAAAGGGUGCGCAGGCGGAGGUGCAAGUCAGCGGUCAAAUUGCGGGGCUCAACCCCGUACUGCCGUUGAAACUGCAUCCCUUGAGUGCGCGAGAA